Molecule: ribosomal RNA, 454 nt
Filed under: uncultured Alphaproteobacteria bacterium
Lineage: Bacteria; Pseudomonadati; Pseudomonadota; Alphaproteobacteria
Description: bacterial SSU rRNA
Rfam family: Bacterial small subunit ribosomal RNA
Source: RNAcentral
GGCGGACGGGUGAGUAACGCNUAGGAAUCUACCUAAUAGUGGGGGAUAGCCCAGUGGAAACUUGGAUUAAUACCGCAUACAUCCCUACGGGGGAAAGCGGGGGAUCUUCGGACCUCGUGCUAUUAGAUGAGCCUGCGUAAGAUUAGCUAGUUGGUGAGGUAAGAGCUCACCAAGGCGACGAUCUUUAGCUGGUUUUAGAGGAUGAUCAGCAACACUGGGACUGAGACACGGCCCAGACUCCUACGGGAGGCAGCAGUGGGGAAUCUUACACAAUGGGCGCAAGCCUGAUCUAACCAUGCCGCGUGAGUGAUGAAGGCCUUAGGGUCGUAAAGCUCUUUCGCCUGUGAUGAUAAUGACAGUAGCAGGUAAAGAAACCCCGGCUAACUCCGUGCCAGCAGCCGCGGUAAUACUGAGGGGGUUAGCGUUGUUCGGAAUUACUGGGCGUAAAGCGCAC